ACUCAAAUGAAUUGACGGGGGCCCGCACAAGCAGUGGAUCAUGUGGUUUAAUUCGAAGCAACGCGAAAAACCUUACCUACAUUUGACAUCCUCUGACAACUCUAGAGAUAGAGCUUUUGUAGCAAUACAACAGAGAGACAGGUGCUGCAUGGCUGUCGUCAGCUCGUGUGGUGACAUGUUGGGUUAAGUCCCGCAACGAGCGCAACCCUUGUCCUUAGUUGCCAUCAUUCAGUUGGGCACUCUAAGGAGACUGCCGUGGUUAACACGGAGGAAGGUGGGGAUGACGUCAAGUCCUCAUGGCCCUUAUAUGUAGGGCGACACACGUGAUACAAUGGGUGGUACAGAGGGAAGCGAAAGGGUGACCUGGAGCCAAUCUCAAAAAGCCACUCUCAGUUCGGAUUGGAGUCUGCAAUUCGACUCCAUGAAGGUGGAAUUGCUAGUAAUCGCGGAUCAGCACGCCGCGGUGAAUACGUUCCCGGGCCUUGCACACACCGCCCGU
This 499-nucleotide ribosomal RNA is filed under the name uncultured bacterium. RNAcentral describes it as "partial 16S ribosomal RNA". It matches the Rfam family "Bacterial small subunit ribosomal RNA", at positions 899 to 1397 of the family's 1533-position model. The record is from RNAcentral.